AGGGCGUGGGAAGCUCAGUGGUAGUGCAUCUGCCUUGCCUUCAGAAGGUUCCGGGUUCGAAUCCCAACCCCUCUG
This is a non-coding RNA of Podarcis lilfordi (Lilford's wall lizard), 75 nucleotides long. NCBI's taxonomy places the organism in Eukaryota, Metazoa, Chordata, Lepidosauria, Squamata, Lacertidae. The record is from the annotation of a GenBank genome assembly.